UUGAUACACUGGUGGUGGAACCUGACGGGCAGAGAGUUGGUCCUAGAGUACUGGAGUUGGCUCCCUUCGUGGCUGGUUCCUGCCUUUCUUUACUCUCUCAAUUUUCCUACGCAACAAAAUAACAUGGUGGUUUAGAUGUCAAGCAAAAUUUCAGUAUGUACCUAUUCCAACAGCAAUCUUAGGAACGCAUGCUCUAAUGCCAACUACGACAGCCCUGUUUCCUUGGCAAGAAAUGAGAGUAUCAAACCUAAACUACAAAUAAAAAAUAUUUAGUAUUUGAAGAAUUUCUCAAGCUUCUGAGUUCAUAUAUAUACAUAUAUCACCUGCAUUUUCCCCAGUAUAUAGCCAGAUCGUAGGGGGGGUGUUAAUACAACUUACCAAACUCUCAUCCUAUAUGUCUAUCUUUGUUACAAUGUGUCACAAUGUGUCACUUCCCUUUAAAUUUCUAAAACAUCAACUAUUAAACUUAUAAAAGUUUUUAGUAUAUUAACAUGGAAUUAAAUAAGUAUCAAUGUGAAAGGAAAGAAAAGAAAUAGUCUCUAUUCCAACUAGUGAUCCUUUGUGAUAGCUUGAAAAUAGCUCCAUAUUAAUUUCUUAUAUUUGAUAUAUUUAGGUUAGCUUUACAUGUGUUUGAAAAUAUAUAAUAAGCUUAAGGACAUAAUUUAAAGUCAAACGGAAAAAGGAUGGAUAAGGAUGAAGGAGUUAGAAUAAGCAUGAAAAUGCAUGGAAAAAGGUAGGAACCUUUUAAAUUAAGUGGUAUAAUAAAAAGUGGUAACUAUUAGAAAAAAUAACAUUAUGAAAAAUAACAACUUUAGAUGAAGUGACAAAUUGAGAAGUGAUAGCUUUUAGAUGAAGUGACAUCACAGAAAGUGGCAACUUUUAAAUAAAGUACCAUAUAAAAAGUAGUAACCUUUUAGAUAAAGCGACAUGUGAAAAGACAUUUUACAUAAAAUGACAUGUGAAAAGUAGUAACCUUUUAAGUAAAGUGACAUGAUGAAAUGUAACAAUUUUAGAUGAAAUAAUAUAAUAGAAUGGUGAUAACCUUUCCCUUAUGGCUCCUCACUCUUAGAAAUAAGGGAUAGGAUAAGGGAGGAAGAGACAUUCUGAAUGAAAGAAAAGUAGUGAAAAGUAUAGAGGUGAAAGAAGAAGAGGAAGAAUGAAGUGUGUGAUUGUUGAGAGUAUUUUGAGGUUUUAGAUAAAAAUCUUGGAAAAACUCUACUAACUUUAUGAGAGUGAAGAAAAAAGAGAAGAGGAAUAAGGCUCAUGAUCAAAAAGGGUAACCUUCUUUUUUAAGUUUUGAAGUUCUGUUUCUCUUUAAUUUUUGGGAUUAGUUUUUGAGUAUUGUGUUGAAUAUUUUUGAGUCAAGAAAGUGACAAAAAAUCAUUCCAAAACUCUGUCGAAUGUUUUAGAAAAAAAAGUCAUAAAUAAAGAACUCUGCCAGAAUUAAGACUACGACUACUAAGGACUUAAGGUAAGUGGAUGUUAUGGAUUCAUAGCCUACUUAGUUUUGAAGUAUUUUACGUAUUUUUAGUAUAAAAAUGUGCAUGUGUUUUAUUUGUNNNNNNNNNNNNNNNNNNNNNNNNNNNNNNNNNNNNNNNGCUUUCUGUUUUGAUUCGUAUUUGGUUUGGAAAGAUUGUAUGAUAUAUGUUUUGUUGUGUGUAAAGAAACUAUAUAUUACAUGUACUACGCUGUGAUUUCAUAAUAUUGCUUAUUGGGAUAUUUUAUCUCACUCCCCUAUUACCCUCCAGAUAUUGAAGAUACUACUGUAAAGUGAGCGGUGAUAUGAAAAAAAUUUCUGAAGCCUAGACUCUGAUAUUAAGAUUACUGUUUCAUAAUUUUGUUUAAUAAUGUAAGUAAGAAAAUUUAGAGUUUUGUACAUAUGUUUAUGUUCUAUAUUUAAGGGAUGUAACGCUUCUGCAACUCUUCUAUUAUUAAUAAACUUAAGUUAUUUUACUUAAAUUGAGUCUAUAUAAUUUAAGAAAAUAUGCUUCAGUCAUUACUCUAUAA
Molecule: long non-coding RNA, 2007 nt
Filed under: Carica papaya (papaya)
Lineage: Eukaryota; Viridiplantae; Streptophyta; Magnoliopsida; Brassicales; Caricaceae
Description: long non-coding RNA (CPAP_LNC004250)
Source: RNAcentral